CCUACGGGUUGCACCAGUGGGGAAUAUUGCACAAUGGGCGCAAGCCUGAUGCAGCCAUGCCGCGUGUGUGAAGAAGGUCUUCGGAUUGUAAAGCACUUUCGACGGGGACGAUGAUGACGGUACCCGUAGAAGAAGCCCCGGCUAACUUCGUGCCAGCAGCCGCGCUAAUACGAAGGGGGCUAGCGUUGCUCGGAAUGACUGAGCGUAAAGGGCGCGUAGGCGGUUUAUGCAGUCAGAUGUGAAAUCCCCGGGCUUAACCUGGGAACUGCAUUUGAGACGCAUAGACUAGAGGUCGAGAGAGGGUUGUGGAAUUCCCAGUGUAGAGGUGAAAUUCGUAGAUAUUGGGAAGAACACCGGUGGCGAAGGCGGCAACCUGGCUCGAUACUGACGCUGAGGCGCGAAAGCGUGGGGAGCAAACAGGAUUAGAUACCCGCGUAGUC
This 440-nucleotide ribosomal RNA is filed under the name uncultured bacterium. RNAcentral's name for it is "bacterial SSU rRNA". It matches the Rfam family "Bacterial small subunit ribosomal RNA", at positions 338 to 795 of the family's 1533-position model. The record is from RNAcentral.